This 203-nucleotide ribosomal RNA is filed under the name Fusobacterium necrophorum. Its description in RNAcentral is "16S rRNA. Bacterial SSU". It matches the Rfam family "Bacterial small subunit ribosomal RNA", at positions 1 to 209 of the family's 1533-position model. Lineage: Bacteria; Fusobacteriati; Fusobacteriota; Fusobacteriia; Fusobacteriales; Fusobacteriaceae. The record is from RNAcentral.
AUCGAACGAAGAGUUUGAUCCUGGCUCAGGAUGAACGCUGACAGAAUGCUUAACACAUGCAAGUCGACUCGAGUCUUCGGACUUGGGUGGCGCACGGGUGAGUAACGCGUAAAGAACUUGCCUCUUAGACCGGGACAACAUCUGGAAACGGAUGCUAAUACCGGAUAUUAUGGUUUUUUCGCAUGGAGGAAUCAUGAAAGCUA